GUGGGGAAUAUUGGACAAUGGGCGAAAGCCUGAUCCAGCCAUGCCGCGUGUGUGAAGAAGGUCUUCGGAUUGUAAAGCACUUUAAGUUGGGAGGAAGGGCAGUAAGCUAAUACCUUGCUGUUUUGACGUUACCGACAGAAUAAGCACCGGCUAACUCUGUGCCAGCAGCCGCGGUAAUACAGAGGGUGCAAGCGUUAAUCGGAAUUACUGGGCGUAAAGCGCGCGUAGGUGGUUUGUUAAGUUGGAUGUGAAAGCCCCGGGCUCAACCUGGGAACUGCAUCCAAAACUGGCAAGCUAGAGUACGGUAGAGGGUGGUGGAAUUUCCUGUGUAGCGGUGAAAUGCGUAGAUAUAGGAAGGAACACCAG
This 366-nucleotide ribosomal RNA is filed under the name uncultured bacterium. Its description in RNAcentral is "partial 16S ribosomal RNA". It matches the Rfam family "Bacterial small subunit ribosomal RNA", at positions 354 to 712 of the family's 1533-position model. The record is from RNAcentral.